UACGGGGGGGGCUAGCGUUGUUCGGAAUUACUGGGCGUAAAGGGCGCGUAGGCGGCGUCGCAAGUCAGGCGUGAAAUCCCCGGGCUUAACCUGGGAAUUGCAUUCGAGACUGCAUUGCUGGAGUACGGAAGAGGAGGGCGGAAUUCCCGGUGUAGCGGUGAAAUGCGUAGAUAUCGGGAGGAACAUCAGUGGCGAAGGCGGCUCACUGGGCCGGUACCGACACUGAGGAGCGAAAGCGUGGGGAGCAAACAGG
Molecule: ribosomal RNA, 253 nt
Filed under: uncultured bacterium
Lineage: Bacteria
Description: partial 16S ribosomal RNA
Rfam family: Bacterial small subunit ribosomal RNA
Source: RNAcentral